CUGACAGCAGUAGCGUGCAGGAGACGGCCCUAUGGGUUGUAAACUGCUUUUAUACGAGAAUAAUUUGAUGCACGUGUGCGUUAUUGCAUGUAUCGUAUGAAUAAGGACCGGCUAAUUCCGUGCCAGCAGCCGCGGUAAUACGGAAGGUCCAGGCGUUAUCCGGAUUUAUUGGGUUUAAAGGGAGUGUAGGCGGUUUGUUAAGCGUGUUGUGAAAUUUAGGUGCUCAACAUUUAACUUGCAGCGCGAACUGUCAGACUUGAGUACACGCAACGUAUGCGGAAUUCAUGGUGUAGCGGUGAAAUGCUUAGAUAUCAUGAAGAACUCCGAUUGCGAAGGCAGCAUACGGGAGUGUAACUGACGCUUAAGCUCGAAGGUGCGGGUAUCGAACA
This 389-nucleotide ribosomal RNA is filed under the name Prevotella pallens. Its description in RNAcentral is "bacterial SSU rRNA". It matches the Rfam family "Bacterial small subunit ribosomal RNA", at positions 383 to 774 of the family's 1533-position model. The record is from RNAcentral. Lineage: Bacteria; Pseudomonadati; Bacteroidota; Bacteroidia; Bacteroidales; Prevotellaceae.